CUUCCGGUCCUGCAGAAAAGGGAGCGGAAGAGAAUAGACAAUCCGGUGAGAAUCCGGAACGGUACCGCCACUGUAAGCGCGGAGACCCUGCACACAGACGAAAGUCUGCCAUUGGAAUUCAGUUCUGAGAAGGCUGUUCGGGGGCCGGCGAUGCGCAAGUCAGGAGACCUGCUCGAAA
Molecule: non-coding RNA, 178 nt
Filed under: uncultured Flexilinea sp.
Lineage: Bacteria; Bacillati; Chloroflexota; Anaerolineae; Anaerolineales; Anaerolineaceae
Source: RNAcentral